CUGUAGCCAAUUAAGGCAACCAGGUUCCUUUCCUCAUGGGAGCCCAGUGUGCAGGGCCUGCAAGUAGCCGUCUCCUUGGGAGUGUGCGCAGCCCGCUGCUUGUGUGGAUUGCUCUAAGGGCCCCCGGAGACAGAA
Small nucleolar RNA from Myodes glareolus (Bank vole), 135 nucleotides. RefSeq annotates it as small nucleolar RNA SNORA70. NCBI's taxonomy places the organism in Eukaryota, Metazoa, Chordata, Mammalia, Rodentia, Cricetidae. The record is from RefSeq and is a predicted model, not a curated record.